UAAGAAUCUGCCCCUCGGUCGGGGACAACUCUUGGAAACGAGAGCUAAUACCCGAUACGCUGUGGAGUGAAAGAAUUUCGCCGAGGGAUGAUCUUGCGUCUGAUUAGCUAGUUGGUGUGGUAACUGCACACCAAGGCGACGAUCAGUAGCUGGUCUGAGAGGAUGGACAGCCACAUUGGAACUGAGACACGGUCCAAACUCCUACGGGAGGCAGCAGUGGGGAAUUUUCCGCAAUGGACGAAAGUCUGACGGAGCGACGCUGCGUGAAGGAUGACGGCCCGCGGGUUGUAAACUUCUUUUCUCGAAGAAGAAACAAAUGACGGUAUUCGAGGAAUAAGCAUCGGCUAACUCCGUGCCAGCAGCCGCGGUAAGACGGAGGAUGCAAGUGUUAUUCGGAAUGAUUGGGCGUAAAGAGUCUGUAGGCUGUAUAGAAAGUCUUUUGUUAAAUUCCUCGGCUCAACCGAGAUCAAGCAAAGGAAACUUCUAUACUUGAGGGAAG
RNAcentral lists this ribosomal RNA (499 nucleotides) under uncultured Micromonas. RNAcentral's name for it is "bacterial SSU rRNA". It matches the Rfam family "Bacterial small subunit ribosomal RNA", at positions 118 to 651 of the family's 1533-position model. The record is from RNAcentral. Lineage: Eukaryota; Viridiplantae; Chlorophyta; Mamiellophyceae; Mamiellales.